GAGUUAGGCUACGUAGUGACCUGCGGAGGAUCAUUA
RNAcentral lists this ribosomal RNA (36 nucleotides) under uncultured Piloderma. RNAcentral's name for it is "partial 18S ribosomal RNA". The record is from RNAcentral. Lineage: Eukaryota; Fungi; Basidiomycota; Agaricomycetes; Atheliales; Atheliaceae.